RNAcentral lists this ribosomal RNA (251 nucleotides) under uncultured prokaryote. RNAcentral's name for it is "partial 16S ribosomal RNA". It matches the Rfam family "Bacterial small subunit ribosomal RNA", at positions 525 to 775 of the family's 1533-position model. The record is from RNAcentral.
ACGUAGGGAGCGAGCGUUGUCCGAAUUUACUGGGCGUAAAGCGCGCGUAGGCGGGUUAUUAAGUUGGGGGUGAAAUGCCGAGGCUUAACCUCGGAACUGCCUCCAAAACUGGUAGCCUUGAGGUAUGGAGAGGGAAGUGGAAUUCCAGGUGUAGCGGUGAAAUGCGUAGAUAUCUGGAGGAACACCCGUGGCGAAGGCGGCUUCCUGGCCAUAUCCUGACGCUGAGGUGCGAAAGCUAGGGGAGCGAACGG